CCUACGGGAGGCAGCAGUGGGGACUUUUGGACAAUGGGCGCAAGCCUGAUCCAGCAAUGCCGCGUGAGUGAAGAAGGCCUUCGGGUUGUAAAGCUCUUUUGUCAGGGAAGAAACGGUCUACUCUAAUACAGUGGGCUAAUGACGGUACCUGAAGAAUAAGCACCGGCUAACUACGUGCCAGCAGCCGCGGUAAUACGUAGGGUGCAAGCGUUAAUCGGAAUUACUGGGCGUAAAGCGUGCGCAGGCGGUUAUAUAAGUCAGAUGUGAAAUCCCCGGGCUCAACCUGGGAACUGCAUUUGAGACUGUAUGGCUAGAGUGUGUCAGAGGGGGGUAGAAUUCCACGUGUAGCAGUGAAAUGCGUAGAUAUGUGGAGGAAUACCGAUGGCGAAGGCAGCCCCCUGGGAUAACACUGACGCUCAUGCACGAAAGCGUGGGGAGCAAACAGGAUUAGAUACCCUGGUAGUCCACGCCCUAAACGAUGUCUACUAGUUGUCGGGACUUAAUUGUCUUGGUAACGCAGCUAACGCGUGAAGUAGACCGCCUGGGGAGUACGGUCGCAAGAUUAAAACUCAAAUGAAUUGACGG
Molecule: ribosomal RNA, 585 nt
Filed under: uncultured bacterium
Lineage: Bacteria
Description: bacterial SSU rRNA
Rfam family: Bacterial small subunit ribosomal RNA
Source: RNAcentral